UACGGAGGAUGCGAGCGUUAUCCGGAUUUAUUGGGUUUAAAGGGUGCGUAGGCGGACUGUCAAGUCAGCGGUAAAAUUGAGAGGCUCAACCUCUUCCCGCCGUUGAAACUGGUGGUCUUGAGUGGAUGAGAAGUACGUGGAAUGCGUGGUGUAGCGGUGAAAUGCAUAGAUAUCACGCAGAACUCCGAUUGCGAAGGCAGCGUACCGGCAUCCAACUGACGCUGAGGCACGAAAGCGUGGGGAUCAAACAGG
RNAcentral lists this ribosomal RNA (252 nucleotides) under uncultured bacterium. RNAcentral describes it as "partial 16S ribosomal RNA". It matches the Rfam family "Bacterial small subunit ribosomal RNA", at positions 524 to 776 of the family's 1533-position model. The record is from RNAcentral.